Molecule: ribosomal RNA, 468 nt
Filed under: uncultured bacterium
Lineage: Bacteria
Description: partial 16S ribosomal RNA
Rfam family: Bacterial small subunit ribosomal RNA
Source: RNAcentral
GACGAACGCUGGCGGCGUGCUUAACACAUGCAAGUCGAACGGAAAGGCCCUGCUUUUGUGGGGUGCUCGAGUGGCGAACGGGUGAGUAACACGUGAGUAACCUGCCCUUGACUUUGGGAUAACUUCAGGAAACUGGGGCUAAUACCGGAUAGGAGCUCCUGCUGCAUGGUGGGGGUUGGAAAGUUUCGGCGGUUGGGGAUGGACUCCCGGCUUAUCAGCUUGUUGGUUGGGUAGUGGCUUACCAAGGCUUUGACGGGUAGCCGGCCUGAGAGGGUGACCGGCCACAUUGGGACUGAGAUACGGCCCAGACUCCUACGGGAGGCAGCAGUGGGGAAUAUUGCACAAUGGGCGGAAGCCUGAUGCAGCAACGCCGCGUGCGGGAUGACGGCCUUCGGGUUGUAAACCGCUUUCGCCUGUGACGAAGCGUGAGUGACGGUAAUGGGUAAAGAAGCACCGGCUAACUACGUG